AUCCUGACUCUACCAUAGCACAUAUGCAAACGAGGAAUGUCAGACACAUACCAAAUAAUUCUGCGUCACAUCAGUUUGUUUGGGCAAAUGAGCCUAUGGCCAACAGAUUUGAUACAUCGGUUUCUGCGGAUCAGUUGGGACAGAUGGAACCCAAAAUGAAUCCGCAGCAGUUGAUGUUGUCACAUCAGCAGAUGGGAGCAAAUAAUAUAUACACGCCAAAUAGUCCAGGUGCACAGAAAUCUUCGUUACUCGCCAAACGGAAGGCUGGGAUGGAACCAUCAGUACAUGGUUCUUCACCUCAGACGCCAUCAAUGCCAAAUAAGCGCACUGCACUGGGAGCUUCUUUAUCCACAUCUCCUAGUUUUGCGCAGCAAUCUUCUGCUAUCAAGAAACCUGGACAGCAACAGUCAAAGUCAACUUCUGGAGGUUUACAAAGUCUUCCUGCGUCAGGCAAGAAAAUGGCACGAAAUGAAUCCAUAUCCAAUAAAACUGCCUCCCAGCGGUCGCAGACUCCAAUAGGACGAACAAUUCAAGCUGAGCCAACCUCCAAGGCUCGAUCUGAGUCCUCUGAUGCUGUGAGGUCCAAAAUGAGAGAAUCUCUUGCUUCAGCUCUGGCUAUGGCAUGUCAGAAUCUAGAUGCUGUUGUAAAUGCUGCCAAGGAUCCAAAUGAAGCAGUUGGUUCUCAGCCUUCGCAGGUGAAUGUAGCUCCAACAGCUGCCAGUGAAGGUCUAACUCAAACGUCUGCCUCACAUGAUCAUGUGCAUCAAAACUCCGGUGAUGUACUUCCUUCAGCUGGCGCUUUCCCUGUUGAUAAAACCAAUGACUGUCAGUGUUCAUCUCAUGGGCUUCAAGAUGACGUGAGCAUGAGAAACUCUAUACCUGGCUCUAGUGAGCUUGAAAUGCAUGUGGAUGAUGUUCCGUUCAGCGAAAACUUUUUUGUCAAAGAUGAACUUCUGCAAGGGAAUGGUCUCACUUGGGAGAUGGAUCUAGAUAUGCAGUUAAGAGAAGCUGACUUCCUCCAGGAUGCUGAAAAAGCCAAUUUGUUUGAUGAGGGUAUGGUUGGAGAUGAAGGCGAGCAUGCAAAAUCAUCUCCACAAGAUAUAGCUUUAAAAAUUGAGGCGGAACUUUUUAAAUUAUUUGGAGGCGUGAACAAAAAAUAUAAAGAGAAGGGCAGGUCUCUUCUAUGGUUGGAGAUGAAGGCGAGCAUGCAAAGUCAUCUCCACAGGAUAUAGCUUUAAAAAUUGAGGCGGAACUUUUUAAAUUAUUUGGAGGCGUGAACAAAAAAUAUAAAGAGAAGGGCAG
Molecule: long non-coding RNA, 1302 nt
Filed under: Nicotiana benthamiana
Lineage: Eukaryota; Viridiplantae; Streptophyta; Magnoliopsida; Solanales; Solanaceae
Description: long non-coding RNA (NBEN_LNC016673)
Source: RNAcentral